Molecule: ribosomal RNA, 429 nt
Filed under: Gemmatimonadota bacterium
Lineage: Bacteria; Pseudomonadati; Gemmatimonadota
Description: Gemmatimonadetes bacterium partial 16S ribosomal RNA
Rfam family: Bacterial small subunit ribosomal RNA
Source: RNAcentral
UAGGGAAUCUUCGGCAAUGGACGAACGUCUGACCGAGCAACGCCGCGUGAGUGAAGAAGGUUUUCGGAUCGUAAAACUCUGUUGUUAGAGAAGAACAAGGACGUUAGUAACUGAACGUCCCCUGACGGUAUCUAACCAGAAAGCCACGGCUAACUACGUGCCAGCAGCCGCGGUAAUACGUAGGUGGCAAGCGUUGUCCGGAUUUAUUGGGCGUAAAGCGAGCGCAGGCGGUUUCUUAAGUCUGAUGUGAAAGCCCCCGGCUCAACCGGGGAGGGUCAUUGGAAACUGGGAGACUUGAGUGCAGAAGAGGAGAGUGGAAUUCCAUGUGUAGCGGUGAAAUGCGUAGAUAUAUGGAGGAACACCAGUGGAGAAGGCGGCUCUCUGGUCUGUAACUGACGCUGAGGCGCGAAAGCGUGGGGAGCAAACAGG